RNAcentral lists this ribosomal RNA (253 nucleotides) under uncultured bacterium. Its description in RNAcentral is "partial 16S ribosomal RNA". It matches the Rfam family "Bacterial small subunit ribosomal RNA", at positions 524 to 776 of the family's 1533-position model. The record is from RNAcentral.
UACGUAGGGAGCAAGCGUUGUCCGGAAUCAUUGGGCGUAAAGCGCGCGUAGGUGGCCCUGUAAGUCCGUUGUGAAAGUCAAAGGCUCAACCUUUGAAAGCCGAUGGAUACUGCAGGACUAGAGUACGGAAGAGGCGAGUGGAAUUCCUGGUGUAGCGGUGGAAUGCGCAGAUAUCAGGAGGAACACCAAUAGCGAAGGCAGCUCGCUGGGACGUUACUGACGCUGAGGCGCGAAAGCGUGGGGAGCGAACAGG